ACCGGUGUGGCUCAGUGGAUAGAGCAUCUGCCUGCAGACUGAGGGGUCCCAGGUUCAAUUCCUGACAAGGGCA
This 73-nucleotide transfer RNA is filed under the name Myotis brandtii (Brandt's bat). It matches the Rfam family "tRNA". From Rfam's summary of the family: Transfer RNA (tRNA) molecules are approximately 80 nucleotides in length. Lineage: Eukaryota; Metazoa; Chordata; Mammalia; Chiroptera; Vespertilionidae. The record is from Rfam by way of RNAcentral.